Molecule: ribosomal RNA, 516 nt
Filed under: uncultured bacterium
Lineage: Bacteria
Description: partial 16S ribosomal RNA
Rfam family: Bacterial small subunit ribosomal RNA
Source: RNAcentral
GACGAACGCUGGCGGCGUGCCUAAUACAUGCAAGUCGAGCGGACUUGAUGAAGUGCUUGCACUUCUGAUGGUUAGCGGCGGACGGGUGAGUAACACGUAGGUAACCUGCCUAUAAGACUGGGAUAACAUUCGGAAACGAAUGCUAAUACCGGAUACGCGAAUUGGUCGCAUGGCCGAAUCGGGAAAGACGGAGCAAUCUGUCACUUAUAGAUGGACCUGCGGGGCCUUAGCAAGUUGGUGAGGUAACGGCUCACCAAGGCGACGAUGCGUAGCCGACCUGGGCGGGUGAACGGCAACACUGGGACUGAGACACGGCACAGAGUCCUACGGGAGGCAGCAGUAGGGAAUCUUCCGAAAUGGACGAAAGUCUGACGGAGCAACGCCGCGUGAGUGAUGAAGGUUUUCGGAUCGUAAAGCUCUGUUGCCAGGGAAGAACGCUUGGGAGAGUAACUGCUCUCAAGGUGACGGUACCUGAGAAGAAAGCCCCGGCUAACUACGUGCCAGCAGCCGCAGUAA